RNAcentral lists this ribosomal RNA (510 nucleotides) under uncultured bacterium. RNAcentral describes it as "partial 16S ribosomal RNA". It matches the Rfam family "Bacterial small subunit ribosomal RNA", at positions 28 to 507 of the family's 1533-position model. The record is from RNAcentral.
GACGAACGCUGGCGGCGUGCUUAACACAUGCAAGUCGAACGAAGAGCGAUGGAAGCUUGCUUCUAUCAAUCUUAGUGGCGAACGGGUGAGUAACGCGUAAUCAACCUGCCCUUCAGAGGGGGACAACAGUUGGAAACGACUGCUAAUACCGCAUACGAUCUAAUCUCGGCAUCGAGGAUAGAUGAAAGGUGGCCUCUACAUGUAAGCUAUCACUGAAGGAGGGGAUUGCGUCUGAUUAGCUAGUUGGGGGGGUAACGGCCCACCAAGGCGAUGAUCGGUAGCCGGUCUGAGAGGAGGAACGGCCACAUUGGGACUGAGACACGGCCCAGACUCCUACGGGAGGCAGCAGUGGGGCAUCUUCCGCAAUGGACGAAAGGCUGACGGAGCAACGCCGCGUGAGUGAUGACGGGCUUCGGGUUGUAAAGCUCUGUUAAUCGGGACGAAAGGCCUUCUUGCGAAUAGUGAGAAGGAUUGACGGUACCGGAAUAGAAAGCCACGGCUAACUACGUG